CCUGCUCUGAUUGUAGUGUAAUGAGACAAGCAGGGAGAGUGAGCUCGUCUGUGGUGGUCGACGAACCCUCAACCUUCUGGCCCAUAGCCCUGCGUGGCAUCAACUGUACCACGAAACCAUGCUGAAGUAGCAACGUUACAGGACAAGGAGAAGGUCUGAGUAGACCCAGUAAAUGUUGUGGACACUCAACCUGUUUUUCUUUCCAUCAGAAAGUUCCAGGAAAAUUCAAAAAACUGUUUUUGGAACUGGAGCUGUUGACAGACCCCUCUCUCAACCACAAAGCCUACAGGGACACUUUCAAGAAGACCAAGACGCCGAAGAUCCCUUUCCUUCCUCUGCUACUGAAAGAUAUCACUUUCAUUCACGAGGGCAACAAAACGUUUCUCGUAACCUGGUGAAUUUUGAAAAGCUGCACAUGAUAGCCGACACGGUGCGUCUAUCAACACUGUCAGGAGGAUCACAUGGG
Long non-coding RNA from Salvelinus sp. IW2-2015, 466 nucleotides. RefSeq lists it as uncharacterized. NCBI's taxonomy places the organism in Eukaryota, Metazoa, Chordata, Actinopteri, Salmoniformes, Salmonidae. The record is from RefSeq and is a predicted model, not a curated record.